Non-coding RNA from Chlorocebus sabaeus (green monkey), 2441 nucleotides. NCBI's taxonomy places the organism in Eukaryota, Metazoa, Chordata, Mammalia, Primates, Cercopithecidae. The record is from RefSeq and is a predicted model, not a curated record.
CCAAAUUAUAGGCUAUAACCCUAUAUAUCUUACAUGGCCCACCCAGUUCAACUAGGUCUACAAGAUGCUACAUCCCCUGUCAUAGAAGAGCUAAUCACCUUCCACGACUAUGCAUUUAUAACUAUCUCUUUAAUUAGCUUUUUAGUCCUAUACGCCCUAUCCUCAACACUCACAACAAAACUAACCAAUACCAACAUUACAGACGCCCAGGAGAUAGAGACCACUUGAACCAUCUUACCCGCAAUCAUUCUAAUCCUGAUUGCCCUACCAUCUCUACGCAUUCUGUACCUAACAGACGAAAUCAACAACCCCUCCUUUACUAUUAAAUCAAUUGGACAUCAAUGAUACUGAACCUACGAAUACACAGACUACGGAGGCCUCAUCUUUAAUUCUUACAUACUGCCUCCAUUAUUCUUAAACCCAGGAGACCUUCGACUUCUAGAAGUUGACAACCGAGUGGUUCUCCCAAUUGAAGCCCCCGUCCGUAUAAUAAUCACAUCUCAAGAUGUCCUACACUCAUGAACUAUUCCCACACUAGGUUUAAAAACAGAUGCAGUACCCGGACGCUUAAAUCAAACCACAUUUACCGCCACACGACCAGGCGUCUAUUAUGGACAAUGCUCAGAAAUCUGUGGAGCUAACCACAGCUUCAUACCUAUCGUCGCAGAACUAAUCCCAUUAAAAAUCUUUGAAAUAGGACCUGUGUUUACCCUAUAAAUAUCCCACUCCCUUUCCACUAUACAAAUGCACUGCACAGCUAUUCUAGCGUUAACCUUUUAAGUUAAAAAUUGAGGGGCAUGCCCUCUGCAGCGAAAUGCCUCAAUUAGACACAUCCACAUGAUUUAUCACUAUUACAACAAUACUUCCUACACUAUAUCUUAUUACACAACUAAAACUGCUAGACAUAUGUUACUAUCAAUCCCCCCAACAAAAAAAACUCUGACAAGCAAACCCCCAAUAACCACUGACAACUAAAAUGAACGAAAAUUUAUUUACCUUAUUCGCAACUCCAAUAAUCCUAAACCAACCUGCUACAAUCCCCAUCAUCAUAUUCCCCGUACUACUAAUUCCAACUUCCAAACACCUCAUUAACAACCGACUAACCACUAUUCAACGUAACCUAGUACUACUCGCUCUAAAGCAAAUAAUAAUAACCCACAAUGCUAAGGGGCGAACCUGGUCCCUAAUACUAAUGUCUCUAAUCACCUUUAUCACCACAACUAAUCUUCUAGGACUUCUACCCCACUCAUUUACACCUACCACCCAACUAUCUAUAAACCUCGCUAUAGCAAUCCCCUUAUGAGCCGGCACAGUAAUUACAGGCCUUCGCUUUAAAACCAAAAACUCCCUAGCUCACCUCCUACCACAAGGCACACCAACAUUACUCAUUCCCAUACUAGUAAUAAUCGAAACCAUUAGCUUGAUUAUUCAACCAGUGGCCCUAGCUGUACGCUUAACUGCCAACAUCACGGCCGGCCACCUGCUAAUACACCUAAUCGGAAACACUGCACUAACACUACUAAGUAUCAGCCCCCCCGCUGCUUUACUAACCUUUACACUUCUAAUACUACUCACCAUCCUAGAGAUCGCAGUUGCUUUAAUCCAAGCCUAUGUUUUCACACUUCUAGUUAGCCUCUAUUUACACAACAACACCUAAUGACCCACCAAUUCCAUGCUUAUCACAUAGUCAAACCCAGCCCUUGACCACUAACAGGAGCUCUGUCAGCCCUUCUAAUAACAUCCGGCUUAGUCGUGUGAUUCCACUUCUAUUCUACCACUCUAUUGACACUAGGCCUACUAACCAUAACACUAACCCUUCACCAAUGAUGACGCGAUGUCGUACGAGAAAGCACCUAUCAAGGACAUCACACGACACCCGUUCAAAAAAACCUUCGCUAUGGCAUAGUCCUAUUCAUUAUCUCGGAAAUCUUCUUCUUUACCGGGUUCUUCUGAGCAUUCUACCACUCAAGCCUAGCCCCAACCCCCUAUUUAGGAGGCCACUGACCACCAACAGGUAUUACCCCAUUAGAUCCCUUAGAAGUACCCCUUCUAAACACCUCCGUAUUAUUAGCAUCAGGAGUCACAAUUACCUGAGCUCACCACAGCCUUAUAAACAACAAUCGAAAACAAACAACCCAAGCCCUACUCAUUACAAUUCUACUAGGCAUCUACUUCACCCUACUACAGAUCUCAGAGUACUUUGAAGCACCCUUCACCAUCUCCGACGGCAUCUAUGGCUCAACAUUCUUUAUCGCUACGGGCUUCCAUGGACUCCAUGUCAUCAUUGGAUCCACUUUCCUCCUUAUCUGCCUCAUUCGCCAACUAUUAUUCCACUUCACACCAAAUCACCACUUCGGCUUUGAGGCUGCCACUUGAUAUUGACACUUCGUAGACGUCGUAUGAUUACUCCUUUAUAUCUCUAUUUACUGAUGAGGAUCCUA